UCUGGUGAAUAUUUUACAACUAAUGAACUGGGUUUAAAGUACAAGUAGAGAACUAAACUAGGUAAGUUUUGAAAAAAAGGAAACGUGAAUCUUACCUAAUCUAAAUAAGGUACCUAAUCAAACAUAAUCAAACUACAAGGUAAUACAAAAUAUUUCCUAAACUUUCGAGAUUUCUACAACAACAUAUAUAACUCUGAGAACAAAAACAAUUCUAUCUUGACAGGGAAAAUGUAUUUAGCCACAGGAUAAGUUUGCUGUCUAACUCAUUUUGGAUAGACUUUAUAUAAGAAAUGCUCAUGUCUUAUUAUAUGAGGCAAGGAAGAACAGAUACGGGUUAGUUGAGACGGAAAAUUAUUUCAUCCUUCUAUACUUUGCUUGUAGCUCAAUAUUUGUCAUCUUUAGCAAGAGAUGCUAUCUCUCUACUGGAAAAGAUGGUGAGAAAAUUGACAUAAGCAGCAAAUUGUAUCCAGAUAGAAAAGGAAAUAGAAUUCGAAACCAAAACUCGGCAUUGGAGGUGGCAGAAAUCCUUGCUGAUGGUUGAAGAAAUAAAGCAAAAAUAAAUUUAAGGCCAAAAGUUUGUCUUAGCCAAAUGAAGAUAAAAACCAUCAGCUUAACAUCAUUGCAUCAAAGCUUCAACACUAGCAUUCAACGGCCUUCUAAGGAUAUCCAGAUUAUUGAGAAUGUUUCAGAACCAAUGGUAGGCUGGUCUGGAGAUGCGUUAGAUAACUUCCAACUCUUGACCGAGUGAAACAGACUGAGAAAAGAUUAAAUCGAAGUUUCUUAGAGCAAAAUAGUAGCAAAACAAAAAGAGGAAGUCAUGUCUCAGCACACCAACACUGUUUCAAAGCUUGGAAAACAAAAUUCAACCUCAGUCUUACAAAAGUAUCAAAAAUUGCAGCCGCAAUAUUAGGCUGAUCUAAAGCGUGCAUUAACAUGUGGAUGAUAUGAUAUACCAGAACAAUUAUGAUCACUCAGCAUUAAGCCACUAAAACAUUUACCAGGUCAUAAUGGAAAUGAACCAAAGAGAAAAAAUGAAGAAAGAAACAUGAUAAAAAAACAUAAUAUAUCAGAGAGAGAAAGAGAGAGAGAGCAGCUUACUACUAUAGCAAAAUUUACGCCCAAGGUGUUAGGUGUCUAUACCACCUGAGAAAAUGUUUUGAAACUUGUAUUCUCUGAUAAUAUAUACAGAAGGAGACCCCCAAAAAGAAUCAAAAUUACAAGCCUGCCAGAACUUUAGUAAGAGACAAUAAAUCACACUUCUCACAUUUUGAAAGAUAAACAUUGUUAACAUUCAACUGCCUCCCCUUUGGGAAAAAAAAGAGCAGGUGCCUUGAAUAAUAGAGAAAUUUUAGCCAGUGACAUCCCAAUAAUCAAGAAAGUCAUUUUUUUGAACUUGCAAAUACAAUAAACUUCCUUGAUCCUAUCCUUUCUGCACACGCUUCAGAGUUUUCAUGGCUAUCCCACUACCGUCAUCUCUGGUGGACAACGUAUCAAAG
This 1496-nucleotide long non-coding RNA is filed under the name Olea europaea subsp. europaea. Lineage: Eukaryota; Viridiplantae; Streptophyta; Magnoliopsida; Lamiales; Oleaceae. The record is from RNAcentral.